UUUGGAGGAGGGGGUGUGGCCACCGGCCGAACGCUUCCGAAAAUGGCCGAAGGGGCCCCGAGGGUGGAGAGUUGGGCACCUCUCAGAGCCAGCUUUGGUCGAGCGCGUAGCCGAAGAGGAUGGAACGCUCCGAGUGGCGGCCUGCAAGGCCUCGGCCUCGCGUGAUUCUCCUGGCCCGGAGAGGCGCGCGCUCGCCCGGCCGCUCCGCUUAGGAAAGCGCGCUGCUUCGGGGCCUACUUCCCCAACUGACUCGGGCCUUCGCCGAGGCUACGGAGGGCGAAAAAAUAGGGGAAUUACGGGCCGGAACAGAAGGUCACAAAAAGUGAUCACAAUGACCGUGGGACACAGCGAACAGUCAUAAGCAUGAGCCAAAGGUCGUAAGUGUGAAAAAACAUUUUUCAGUGUCUUUGAACGGUCACUAAAUGAACUGUUGUAAAUCGAGGACUAACCUGUAGUGGGAUAGCAAUUUUUUUUUAUAUAGGAUUUCUGGCCGAAGAAGGAGAAGGAAUAGGGACAGGCCCAAAACGGGAUAUUCAGGAAAAAGAGAGAAAAAUCUGAAAGCAUCCCGAUGGUCGAAGAAAUGGAUGGUAGUUGGGGAAAUCAAAAUAAGGUAUUGUUGGCACGGCGCACGCUGAUGUUUGCAUUGCUAGCCCAAGCUUCUGUCCCUGCGCUGUAUCCUUCAGCAGAAAUUCGGAGGGAAAUGAAAAGACAAAAGAGAUAAAAUAUAUGCCACGUGUUUAAAACCUGGAAGGAAAAAAAAAAAAAGAUUGACCAGCAGACUUUUUGAGAGGGAAGAAACGCUGUUCCACAUGACAUACGAAAACAGGGAGGGUCCCGGUGAAACGGCUGUGCUAAACGUUCAUGGGGUCGGCUCGCUUUUGCUGCUGUGGGUUGUGUGAAGGCGGCCGUUGUGGUUUGCUCAAUUGUAUGUCGCUCAACUUGCCCUCAAGCAGCUCCGUGCGGCUGCCGAUGUUGUAAAUAGCUACCCAACAAUUAAAAGGUUAAAACAUUGGGUGUUAAA
This is a long non-coding RNA of Crotalus tigris (Tiger rattlesnake), 1021 nucleotides long. RefSeq lists it as uncharacterized. The transcript is spliced from 2 exons. The record is from RefSeq and is a predicted model, not a curated record. NCBI's taxonomy places the organism in Eukaryota, Metazoa, Chordata, Lepidosauria, Squamata, Viperidae.